RNAcentral lists this ribosomal RNA (253 nucleotides) under uncultured bacterium. RNAcentral's name for it is "partial 16S ribosomal RNA". It matches the Rfam family "Bacterial small subunit ribosomal RNA", at positions 524 to 776 of the family's 1533-position model. The record is from RNAcentral.
GACGGAGGGUGCUAGCGUUGUUCGGAAUUACUGGGCGUAAAGGGCGUGUAGGCGGCCAACUAAGUCCGACGUGAAAUCCCCAGGCUUAACCUGGGAACUGCGUCGGAUACUGGAUGGCUUGAAUCCGGGAGAGGGAUGCAGAAUUCCAGGUGUAGCGGUGAAAUGCGUAGAUAUCUGGAGGAAUACCGGUGGCGAAGGCGGCAUCCUGGACCGGCAUUGACGCUGAAGCGCGAAAGCUAGGGGAGCAAACGGG